GACGAACGCUGGCGGCGUGCUUAACACAUGCAAGUCGAACGGUAAGGCCUUCGGGUACACGAGUGGCGAACGGGUGAGUAACACGUGGGUGAUCUGCCCUGCACUUUGGGAUAAGCCUGGGAAACUGGGUCUAAUACCGGAUAGGACCAUGGCCUGCAUGGGUUGUGGUGGAAAGCUUUUGCGGUGUGGGAUGGGCCCGCGGCCUAUCAGCUUGUUGGUGGGGUGAUGGCCUACCAAGGCGACGACGGGUAGCCGGCCUGAGAGGGUGUCCGGCCACACUGGGACUGAGAUACGGCCCAGACUCCUACGGGAGGCAGCAGUGGGGAAUAUUGCACAAUGGGCGCAAGCCUGAUGCAGCGACGCCGCGUGGGGGAUGACGGCCUUCGGGUUGUAAACCUCUUUCAAUAGGGACGAAGCGUGAGUGACGGUACCUAUAGAAGAAGCACCGGCCAACUACGUGCCAGCAGCCGCCGUAA
RNAcentral lists this ribosomal RNA (476 nucleotides) under uncultured bacterium. RNAcentral describes it as "partial 16S ribosomal RNA". It matches the Rfam family "Bacterial small subunit ribosomal RNA", at positions 28 to 523 of the family's 1533-position model. The record is from RNAcentral.